RNAcentral lists this ribosomal RNA (2360 nucleotides) under Staphylococcus aureus. Its description in RNAcentral is "bacterial LSU rRNA". It matches the Rfam family "Bacterial large subunit ribosomal RNA", at positions 14 to 2372 of the family's 2925-position model. The record is from RNAcentral. Lineage: Bacteria; Bacillati; Bacillota; Bacilli; Caryophanales; Staphylococcaceae.
AGGGCGCACGGUGGAUGCCUUGGCACUAGAAGCCGAUGAAGGACGUUACUAACGACGAUAUGCUUUGGGGAGCUGUAAGUAAGCUUUGAUCCAGAGAUUUCCGAAUGGGGAAACCCAGCAUGAGUUAUGUCAUGUUAUCGAUAUGUGAAUACAUAGCAUAUCAGAAGGCACACCCGGAGAACUGAAACAUCUUAGUACCCGGAGGAAGAGAAAGAAAAUUCGAUUCCCUUAGUAGCGGCGAGCGAAACGGGAAGAGCCCAAACCAACAAGCUUGCUUGUUGGGGUUGUAGGACACUCUAUACGGAGUUACAAAGGACGACAUUAGACGAAUCAUCUGGAAAGAUGAAUCAAAGAAGGUAAUAAUCCUGUAGUCGAAAAUGUUGUCUCUCUUGAGUGGAUCCUGAGUACGACGGAGCACGUGAAAUUCCGUCGGAAUCUGGGAGGACCAUCUCCUAAGGCUAAAUACUCUCUAGUGACCGAUAGUGAACCAGUACCGUGAGGGAAAGGUGAAAAGCACCCCGGAAGGGGAGUGAAAUAGAACCUGAAACCGUGUGCUUACAAGUAGUCAGAGCCCGUUAAUGGGUGAUGGCGUGCCUUUUGUAGAAUGAACCGGCGAGUUACGAUUUGAUGCAAGGUUAAGCAGUAAAUGUGGAGCCGUAGCGAAAGCGAGUCUGAAUAGGGCGUUUAGUAUUUGGUCGUAGACCCGAAACCAGGUGAUCUACCCUUGGUCAGGUUGAAGUUCAGGUAACACUGAAUGGAGGACCGAACCGACUUACGUUGAAAAGUGAGCGGAUGAACUGAGGGUAGCGGAGAAAUUCCAAUCGAACCUGGAGAUAGCUGGUUCUCUCCGAAAUAGCUUUAGGGCUAGCCUCAAGUGAUGAUUAUUGGAGGUAGAGCACUGUUUGGACGAGGGGCCCCUCUCGGGUUACCGAAUUCAGACAAACUCCGAAUGCCAAUUAAUUUAACUUGGGAGUCAGAACAUGGGUGAUAAGGUCCGUGUUCGAAAGGGAAACAGCCCAGACCACCAGCUAAGGUCCCAAAAUAUAUGUUAAGUGGAAAAGGAUGUGGCGUUGCCCAGACAACUAGGAUGUUGGCUUAGAAGCAGCCAUCAUUUAAAGAGUGCGUAAUAGCUCACUAGUCGAGUGACACUGCGCCGAAAAUGUACCGGGGCUAAACAUAUUACCGAAGCUGUGGAUUGUCCUUUGGACAAUGGUAGGAGAGCGUUCUAAGGGCGUUGAAGCAUGAUCGUAAGGACAUGUGGAGCGCUUAGAAGUGAGAAUGCCGGUGUGAGUAGCGAAAGACGGGUGAGAAUCCCGUCCACCGAUUGACUAAGGUUUCCAGAGGAAGGCUCGUCCGCUCUGGGUUAGUCGGGUCCUAAGCUGAGGCCGACAGGCGUAGGCGAUGGAUAACAGGUUGAUAUUCCUGUACCACCUAUAAUCGUUUUAAUCGAUGGGGGGACGCAGUAGGAUAGGCGAAGCGUGCGAUUGGAUUGCACGUCUAAGCAGUAAGGCUGAGUAUUAGGCAAAUCCGGUACUCGUUAAGGCUGAGCUGUGAUGGGGAGAAGACAUUGUGUCUUCGAGUCGUUGAUUUCACACUGCCGAGAAAAGCCUCUAGAUAGAAAAUAGGUGCCCGUACCGCAAACCGACACAGGUAGUCAAGAUGAGAAUUCUAAGGUGAGCGAGCGAACUCUCGUUAAGGAACUCGGCAAAAUGACCCCGUAACUUCGGGAGAAGGGGUGCUCUUUAGGGUUAACGCCCAGAAGAGCCGCAGUGAAUAGGCCCAAGCGACUGUUUAUCAAAAACACAGGUCUCUGCUAAACCGUAAGGUGAUGUAUAGGGGCUGACGCCUGCCCGGUGCUGGAAGGUUAAGAGGAGUGGUUAGCUUCUGCGAAGCUACGAAUCGAAGCCCCAGUAAACGGCGGCCGUAACUAUAACGGUCCUAAGGUAGCGAAAUUCCUUGUCGGGUAAGUUCCGACCCGCACGAAAGGCGUAACGAUUUGGGCACUGUCUCAACGAGAGACUCGGUGAAAUCAUAGUACCUGUGAAGAUGCAGGUUACCCGCGACAGGACGGAAAGACCCCGUGGAGCUUUACUGUAGCCUGAUAUUGAAAUUCGGCACAGCUUGUACAGGAUAGGUAGGAGCCUUUGAAACGUGAGCGCUAGCUUACGUGGAGGCGCUGGUGGGAUACUACCCUAGCUGUGUUGGCUUUCUAACCCGCACCACUUAUCGUGGUGGGAGACAGUGUCAGGCGGGCAGUUUGACUGGGGCGGUCGCCUCCUAAAAGGUAACGGAGGCGCUCAAAGGUUCCCUCAGAAUGGUUGGAAAUCAUUCAUAGAGUGUAAAGGCAUAAGGGAGCUUGA